Molecule: ribosomal RNA, 254 nt
Filed under: uncultured bacterium
Lineage: Bacteria
Description: partial 16S ribosomal RNA
Rfam family: Bacterial small subunit ribosomal RNA
Source: RNAcentral
UACGUAGGGUCCGAGCGUUGUCCGGAUUUAUUGGGCGUAAAGAGCUCGUAGGCGGCUCGGUAAGUCGGGUGUGAAAUUUCGAGGCUCAACCUCGAAACGCCACCCGAUACUGCUGUGGCUAGAGUCCGGUAGGGGAGCGUGGAAUUCCUGGUGUAGCGGUGAAAUGCGCAGAUAUCAGGAGGAACACCAGCGGCGAAGGCGGCGCUCUGGGCCGGUACUGACGCUGAGGAGCGAAAGCGUGGGGAUCAAACAGG